Acanthosepion pharaonis is the source of this 105-nucleotide non-coding RNA. The record is from the annotation of a GenBank genome assembly. NCBI's taxonomy places the organism in Eukaryota, Metazoa, Mollusca, Cephalopoda, Sepiida, Sepiidae.
UAGCCAUAUCAUGUUGAAACACAGCUUCACGUACGAUCACCGAAGUUAAGCAACGUCGAACCUGGUCAGUACAUAGAUGUAUGACCGCUUUGGAAUACCAGGUGU